This 182-nucleotide non-coding RNA is filed under the name Candidatus Pullichristensenella excrementigallinarum. RNAcentral describes it as "6S RNA". It matches the Rfam family "6S / SsrS RNA". From Rfam's summary of the family: E. coli 6S RNA was the first non coding RNA to be sequenced, but its function was unknown until recently. It consists of 184 nucleotides that fold into an extended hairpin structure with a large single-stranded internal bulge. The 6S RNA specifically associates with RNA polymerase holoenzyme containing the sigma70 specificity factor. Lineage: Bacteria; Bacillati; Bacillota; Clostridia. The record is from RNAcentral.
GUUAUCCUGGGGUGUUCGCAACGCCUGUGCUUUUACCCACAGAUUCAAAAAAGGAUUCCGGGUCGGUUUGCGGAUGUCAUGCCCCCGAUUUUGCCAGGGGAAGGCAGAAUGCAGCCGCAGGUUUCCGCCCUGCCUGAGCGGCGGGUGAAAAAGUAACGGCGAACGGCACACUUGGGAUAAUG